CCUACGGGAGGCAGCAGUAGGGAAUAUUGCUCAAUGGGGGAAACCCUGAAGCAGCAACGCCGCGUGGAGGAUGAAGGUUUUCGGAUUGUAAACUCCUUUUGUUAGAGAAGAUAAUGACGGUAUCUAACGAAUAAGCACCGGCUAACUCCGUGCCAGCAGCCGAGGUAAUACGGAGGGUGCAAGCGUUACUCGGAAUCACUGGGCGUAAAGAGCGCGUAGGCGGGAGAGCAAGUCAGCUGUGAAAUCCUAUGGCUUAACCAUAGAACUGCAUUUGAAACUGUUAUUCUAGAGUAUGGGAGAGGUAGGUGGAAUGCUUGGGGUAGGGGGAAAAUCCGGAGAGAGCAAGAGGAAUACUCAUUGCGAAGGCGACCUGCUAGAACAUAACUGACGCUGAUGCGCGAAAGCGUGGGGAGCAAACAGGAUUAGAUACCCCUGUAGUC
Molecule: ribosomal RNA, 440 nt
Filed under: uncultured bacterium
Lineage: Bacteria
Description: partial 16S ribosomal RNA
Rfam family: Bacterial small subunit ribosomal RNA
Source: RNAcentral